GACAAACGCUGGCGGCGUGCCUAAUACAUGCAAGUCGAACGACGAAAGCCUUCGGGCAAGUAAGAGUGGCGCACGGGCGAGGAACACGUAGAUAAUCUGCCCUUCAGUGGGGAAUAACUCUCCGAAAGGAGUGCUAAUACCGAAUAAGACCACAAGCUCUGCGGAGCAAGGGGUUAAAGGAUUUAUUCGCUGAAGGAUUAGUCUGCGUCCGAUUAGCUAGUUGGUGAAGUAAUGUCUUACCAAGGCAAUGAUCGGUAGAUGGUUUGAGAGGACGAUCAUCCGCACUGGAACUGAGACACGGUCCAGACUCCUACGGGAGGCAGCAGUAGGGAAUAUUGCACAAUGGGGGAAACCCUGACGCAGCAACGCCGCGUGAGUGAUGAAGGCUCUAGGGUCGUAAAGCUCUGUCGUAUGGGAAGAAAAAAAUGACGGUACCAUACAAGAAAGGACCGGCCAACUUCGUGCCAGCCGCCGCAGUAA
RNAcentral lists this ribosomal RNA (480 nucleotides) under uncultured bacterium. RNAcentral describes it as "partial 16S ribosomal RNA". It matches the Rfam family "Bacterial small subunit ribosomal RNA", at positions 28 to 523 of the family's 1533-position model. The record is from RNAcentral.